AACAUUAGUUAAGGACCUUCUUUGUAAUGUGUCAACAGAUUUGGAGAAAACACGAGCUAUUUGGAUAUGGAUUUGUCAUCAUAUAGGUAACUAGACAUUUAGUAAAAAUAACAUUCACUUUGAAAUUCCAACCUUAAUUUUUGUGUGCAUCAGGGUGCAUGUUUCAUGUACGUUUGUAGUUUAAAGUCAUACAAUUUAAAGCGGCACUGUCAUGCCAAACUUACCUUUCCCUAAAUGCUUCCUCUUCUCUUCCUCUCUCAGGAUCUGUUCUUCAUUUCUUCCUGUCUGCUCUAGUUUUCUUUAAAACAAAAGACUAAGUAGGGACUAUUUUUCUUAUGUAGGUUUCCUAUGCCUGACCAUCUAUGACCAGCGGAGGAGCAAAGUGUGCUCAAUUUCAUGUGGUGAGAGAAAUUUUCCCACAAUUCUCACCUUUCCUCCGUGUUCUCGCAAUGCCUCCUUUCCGUAUUCCAGAACGCUGGCAAAACGAACAAAUUUCGCCCUAACAGAAUUAGAGCAGUUCCUCCAUUCGUGUUGGGACAAAAUUCAGAACUUUUGUUUGGAUCGGAAUUUCAUUUGAAUGAAUGAAAUUCUGAUCCGUGCUGCAGCUGCAUCUUGCAGCCGCUUAGUAGAUAGCUCCCUAAUUUCCACGGUAUUAGGGAGCUAUCUACCAAAAGGCUGAAAGACCAAGAUUGGUCUUUCAGGCAACUUUACUAAUACCAAGUAAAAAUUACAUAGUAUUAGUAAUUAGGGGCAUGUCUAGUAAACAGUGAGCAGCCUGUGGCCCGAUAUUUUCAAUUUUUAUAUAUAUAUAUAUAUAUAUAUAUAUAUUUUUUUUUUUUUUAUUGUUCUGUCUCUGUAUUAUAUGUCACUGUUUAUUUCUAUAUUACUACUUACUUAUAUUUCAUUUUAUAUAUUAUCUCUGUGGCGCCACCUUUGUCUCCUUCCUUAUACACAUAUACCCAUAGGGCCUGUGAGAGAGCCCAAUCCUUUAGGUGUGCUGCCUUUAUUUAAGAUUUUAAGCGCUGAUCCUUCUGUACACUUUUCACGUGGUUUAGAUGAAUAUUCUUGUUCUUGGGUUGAACAUUGGCUUAAGGAUAGAGUACAACCAGUUGUCAUUAAUGGUAAAUUUUCAAGCUGGACAAAAGUGGUAAGUGGUUUCCCUCAGGGUUCUGUUUUGGGGCCGCUUCUGUUUAACAUAUUUAUAAAUGAUCUUGCAAUAGGCAUUGCAAACCAUGUUUUAGUGUUUGCAGAUGACACUGACCUUUGUAAAGUAAUAAAACGUGAGCAGGAAAUUGCUUUGCUGCAGAGGGAUUUAGAUAGAUUGGGGGACUGGGCACUAAAAUGGCAGAUUAAAUUUAAUUCAGAGAAAUGCAAAGUUAUGCACUUCGGGGUCAAGAAUGCACAAGCAACUUACACCCUAAAUGUUAGUGAAUUAGGGAUAACCACACACGAGAAGGAUUUGGGAGUUGUUAUAGACAACAAAUUAGGCAGCAAUAUGCAAUGUAAGGCUUUGUCAUGUAUAAAUAGGGGCAUAAAUUCUUGGGAUGAAAAUAUAAUUUUGCCUCUUUAUAAAUCGCUGGUAAGACCACACCUUGAAUAUACGGUGCAAUUGUGGGCACCUGUUCUAAAAAAGGAUAUCAUGACACUAGAGAAAGUGCAGAUACGAGCAACAGAUUUGAUAAAAGGAAUGGAGCAUUUUAGUUAUGAAGAAGUUUGGAAAAACGGCACCUAAGAGGGAAUGUGAUAACAUUAUACAAAUAUAUUCGGGGGCCAGUACAAAUCAUUAUCUGGAAACCUAUUCAUAAACAGGGCUAUACAUAGGAUUUAGGCUGGAAGAAAGGAGAUUUCUUCUAAGGCAAAGAAAAGUUGUUGUUUUUUUACAGUAAGAACUACAAGGAUAUGUAAUUCUCUGCCUGAAUAUAAAAUCCUUCACUUUAUACACAUACAAUAGAUGAUGUUGUGGCUGAAUGUUUGGCAAAUGCUUAUUUAAAUUUACUUAUUAUUACCAAUAUGGAUAGCGCACUCUCCUGGAUCCCAGGGUGCAGCUGGGCCUGACGUUUGCCAAUCCACACAAUGUGAUUUGCAAAAAAUGUAAUGAUGGUCCAGGCACUCAUGUUCAGUCCAAUGGGCAGAUUUAUUGAAACAGAAUCAAAACAACGUUUCAGCCCACAGCAGGGCUGAAACAUUAGUUUGAUUCUGCUCCAAUACAUCUGCCCACUGGAUUAAACUUAAGUGCCUGCAACAUCAUUACUUAUUUAAAUUUACUUGUAAUGUUCUGGUACCUCAGAUAGGACAAUGUACUGCUCUCACUCAACAUUGAGUAUAUACUUCAAAAGCACUUAUACUGCGUCCUAAACCUCUUGAAGUACAUCAAUAAAACAGUAGUCAGUGCACGACUCAAAGAACACAGGGUACACAUUACAUUUGGAAUCGUGAUAGCGAGUGUUUUUGUCAAUCCUGAACAAAGGCCCAGAAGGUCGAAAUGUUGGAUCCUCUUGUUCUGUGAUGGCAGAUUACACAGAUAACUGCAUUGGUAAUGUAGUGGUGUUCAUUUAUUCUAUUUUGGUGGUGAUAUAAAAGUCACAGCAAUUGCAUGGAUAUUGUGGAGCUAUUAAUUUAUCCUUUUUAACGUGUUGGAAGAAUUGUCAUUAUCAAUUAUGUCCUGAAUCGCACAUUGAAAGCUAGAGUGAUACAUUACCUAAAAUACUUCUAAACAGGGGUCGGUCACAUUCUGCACUCCAGAUGUUGUAGACUACAUCUCCCAUAAUACUCUUACAGCCAUAAUGCUGGCAAAGUAUCAGGGGAGACGUAGUCCACAAUAUCUGGAGUGUUGAAGGAUGCUUACAUCUGUUCUAGACAGUAAUUGCAGCAUUUUCCAAAGUUAAACACAUGAUGUCCAUCCCGUGUAAUAGACCCGUCACAUAAAAUAAUAUCACCCCAAGCCUGUAGACACUUUUAUAUCAGUUGAUAUUUUACAUAUUUUGUAUCUCUAGAUAUUUUUUAUCCAUUAAACUAAUUCAAAUAAAUUAAAUGGAAUUUGCUGCUUAAAUAAUAAUUAUCAAUAAAGUACAGACAUUAAUUGGAUAAUUUGGUUUUAUUAGAGUAUGACAUUGAUGGGUAUAGAAAUAAAGCCCUGAGAUCUACUGAUGCAGAGGACAUACUGCAGACAAGGAAAGGCGUCUGUGCUGGGUACUCUUCUCUCUUUCAGCGCAUGUGCAGGUAAAAAGGACAGCAAAACAAUAUAUCAAUACAGUAAUUGCAAGUUCUGUGUAUGGUCUUGAUGUGGUAACAAGACAUUUCUUCCCACUUUUAGCACCCUGUUUUAAUUAGUGCAUGUUACACUGGGUUACCAACUGAAGUAGAGCUCUUACUAUAUUUUUUGCAUGUUCAUCGAUAUAGUAACACAGGAAAUAACUGACAUGUAUUGUGCUUUUACUGUUUCAACCUUAUUCAUAUGAUUGUGCCCCUAGUAGGGGGUGGCAGGAUACAUAAAUAGCAUUUUCACAACUAUGGUCUCAGGAAUACAUGUUUGUAUUCCUCACACUAUAGUGUUCCUUUAAGCAAAUUAAUGGAACAUUCUGGUUACCAUAACAACUUUAUCUAAAUGAAAAUGAUAUGAUGCUAGGAGGCCCCUGGGCGCUCUCUUUCCUUUAAGGGGUUAAACCUAUCUCACAUGGUUUAAACCCAAAGGCUUCCUCCUGCUCCAGAUCUCCAGGUGGCUCAGUGGCAAUGGUGUGUCAGGAAGUGCAGACUGACAUCAGGCAUGGGUGCCGCUGAUUGGCUAGAGUGGUCAGCUGACACUCUAAGCCAAUCGCUAUUUCCCGAUUCAUAAAAAUGUUUUACUUUUAGAGUGCCAGCUGACCAAUCUGCGGCACCCCUACCAACGGGUGUGCUUCCUGACACUCGGUAAAUAAAAGUGAACACAUUAACACUGAUAUUUUUUUUGACCUGGGGAGAAGAGAAGGUCCAAAGUUUUCCUGUGGUGUCCAGAAUGAAGUGGAGGGAUUACUUUACUUGUCCUUCCUGCUCUAAUCUUCAUUUCUUCUCCUUUAUUUGACACAGUCUUCUUUUUAUUCUGACACUGUGUUCUCUUCUCCUUGGCUCCUACUCCUCAUUUACCUUUCAGCUUCUUUUGUACCCUUCUGCUCAUUUCUCUUUCUGAUCUCUUUCUGCUACUUUUGCUCCCUUCUACUCCUUCUGACCAUUCCUGCUCCUUGCUGACCAUUCCUGCUACUUGCAGACCCUUCCUGCUCAUUUCUGUUCCUUUUCCUACUUUACCUUUGUGCUCCUUCUGCCCCUCCAGCUCCUUGCUGACCCUUUCUGUUUCUUGCUGCUCUUCCUAGCUCCUUCCUGACCCUUUCUGCACCUACUCCUACUUUACCUUUGUGAUCCUUCUGUCCCUUUCGGCUCCUUGCUGCCCCUUUCUGCUCCUUCUCCUACUUUACCUUUGUGCAACUUCUGAUUCUUUCUGCUCCUUUACCUUUGUGCCCCUUCUGUCCUUUCCUGCUCCUUGCUGACCCGUUCUGCUACUUGCAGACCCUUCCUGCUCAUUUCUUUUCCUUUUCCUAUUUUACCUUUGUGCUCCUUCUGCCCCUUCCAGCUCCUUGCUGACCCUUUCUGUUUCUUGCUGCUCUUCCCAGCUCCUUGCUGACCCUUUCUGCACCUACUCCUACUUUACCUUUGUGAUCUUUCUGUCCCUUUUGGCUCCUUGCUGCCCCUUUCUGCUCCUUUUCCUACUUUACCUUUGUGCAACUUCUGAUUCUUUCUGCUCCUUUACCUUUGGGCUCCUUCUGUCCUUUCCUGCUCCUUGCUGACCCUUUCUGCUGCUUGCUGCCCUUUCCAGCUCCUUGCUGACCCUUUCUGCUUCUUCUCCUACUUUACCUUUGUGCAACUUCUGAUUCUUUCUGCUCCUUUACCUUUGUGCUCUUUCUGACCAUUCCUGCUCCUUGCUGACCCUUCCUGCUGCUUGCAGACCCUUCCUGUUCAUUUCUGUUCCUUUUCCUACUUUACCUUUGUGCUCUUCUGCCCCUUCCAGCUCCUUGCUGCCCCUUUCUGUUUCUUGCUGCUCUUCCCAGCUCCUUGCUGACCCUUUCUGCGCCUACUCCUAUUCCUACUUUACUUUAUGCAACUUCUGAUUCUUUCAGCUCCUUUACCUUUGUGCUCUUUCUGUCCUUUCCUGCUCCUUGCUGACCCUUUCUGCUGCUUGUUGCCCUUUCCAGCUCCUUGCUGACCCUUUCUGCACCUUCUCCUACUUUACCUUUGUGCUCCUCCUGUCCCUUUCUGCUCCUUGCUGACCCUUCCUUCUCCUUGCUGCCCCUUUCUGCUCCUUCUCCUACUUUACCUUUGUGCAACUUCUGAUUCUUUCUGCUCCUUUACCUUUGUGCUCCUUCUGUCCCUUCCUGCUCCUUUCUGACCAUUUCUGCUACUUGCUGCCCCUCUGUGCUCCUUCUCCUACUUUACCUUUGUGCAACUUCUGUUUCUUUCUGCUCCUUUACCUUUGUGCUUCUUCUGACCCUUUCUGCUCCUUGCAGACUCUUCCUGCUCAUUGCAUACACUUCCUCCUCCUUGCUGUCCCUUCUCCUACUUUACCUUUGUACAACUUCUGAUUCAUUCUGCUCCUUUACCUUUGUGCUCCUUUUGUGCCUUCCUGCUCCUUGUUGACCUUUUCUGCUGCUUGCAGACCCUUCCUGCUCCUUUCUGACCCUUUCUGCUCCUUGCUGGCCAUUUCUGUUCCUUUUGCUCCUUCUCCUACAUUACCUUUGUGCACCUUCUGAUUAUUUCUGCUCCUUUACCUUUGUGCUCCUUCUGUCCCUUCCUGCUCCUUGCUACCCCUUCCUGCUCCUUGCUGACCCUUCCUGCUCAUUUCUGUUUCUUUCUUCUCCUUCUCCUACUUGACCUGUGUGCUCAUUCUGCCUCUUCCAGCUCAUUGCUGACCCUUUCAGCUCCUUGAUGUCCCUACCUGCUCAUUUUGGUUCCUGCUCCUUUCUGCUCCAUCUCCUACUUUACCUUUGUGCUCCUUCUGAUUCUUUCUGCUCCUUUACCUUUGUGCUCCUUCUGUCUCCUUGUGCUCCUUGCUGCCCCUUUCUGCUCCUUGCUGUCUCUUCUCCUACUUUACCAUUGUGCUCCUUCUGAUUAUUUCUGCUCCUUUACCUUUCUGCUCCUUGCAGGCCAUUCCUGCUAAUUUCUGUUCCAACCUGUUCCUCCUCCUAUUUUACCUUUGUGCUUCUUCUGCCUCUUCCAGCUCCUUGCUGCCCCUUUCUGUUCCUUGCUGCCCUUUCCAGCUCUUUGCUGACACUUUCUGUUGCAGACCCUUCCUGCUCCUUUAUGACCCUUUCUGCUCCUUGCUGGCCAUUUCUGUUCCUUUUGCUCCUUCUCCUACAUUACCUUUGUGAACCUUCUGAUUAUUUCUGCUCUUUUACCUUUGUGCUCCUUCUGUCCCUUCCUGCUCCUUGCUACCCCUUCCUACUCCUUGCUGACCCUUCCUGCUAAUUUCUGUUUCUUUCUUCUCCUUCUCCUACUUGACCUAUGUGCUCAUUGUGCCUCUUCCAGCUCAUUGCUGACCCUUUCUGCAGCUCCUAUAUCACUAUGACCUAAUUUACAAGAGCGAAUUGCAUGAUUUCGUUCACCAUGCAUUGCAUUCUUCAACUAAUUUGGUCAGUCACUUUAAAUUUGAUGCAAUGAAUAACAAAACAUUAUUGCAUUCAAAAACAAUAAAAAGUGCAGAAUCACUUAUUGACAUCUUGCACCUGGUCUAUGCAAUAAGCACAUGUUCAUGAUUGAUGUAUUUAUCUCUGUUUGUAGCAUUGCCGGCGUGCAGUGUAAAUCUGUGAGUGGAUAUGGUAAAGGUGUAUCGUACAAUGUAGGACAGAAAAUAUCUGGAGAGUCUAAUCAUGCCUGGAACAUGGUGUAUUUAGGAGGUGGAUGGCACUUGUUGGACAGUACAUGGGGAGCAGGUCACUCUGAUAACAGCGUAAGCUCGUUUACAUUUGAGUAAGUAAAUUCAUUGGAUAAACCAAACCAAUGCUUGCGGUAAUGUUACACAAUACAAUAGAAAUGCUUGAUAAUUACAACAAAAGAAAAUUGAAAGUGUCAUAUCUGCACUGAAUUAGAAUACAGAAUAGAUUAUGAUGUUAAUUAAUACGCAGUGCAUUUGUAUUUUUGUAUUUCAUACAUGAUGUUAUUAAUAUUAUUAUCAUUUAUAUAGCGCCAACAUAUUCCACAGCACUUUACAAUUAUACAAUUGGGAUAUCUGACAAGAAAUUUACAUAUGGAAAAUAACAGAGACAAAAAGUGAAGAAGUAUCUGCUCAAACGAGCUUACAAUCUAUGAGGGAUGGGUAAAGAUACACAAGAGAAAUAACAGUAUUUCAGAGGGUAUAUGGAUUGGUGGAUAAAUUAUUGUGACGAGACCAAUCUCGCCACAUUGCAUUGGAGAAGCCUGGUUGCUCGCCUGCUGCCUUUGGACUAUGGCCCCCUUUUAAAAGACUUUAUUUUUCCAUGCAGAAAAGCUGUAUUCGUGCUUUUCUGCCAGUUGUUCGGUAGUUUCAAUCUACCGAACAACCGUACGAAUGACUGGACCACCUGGGAGCGGGAGUGUGCCGGCAAUUAACCUCCCUGAAGCUGCGGUUAACCGCAGCUUAAUUGAAGAAUGCUGGGUGGCCGCCAUUCGUAUCCCGAACACGAGGUCGCGGCCAUUUUAAAUUAUACGGAUGAACAGCAGUGUUCGCCUCUAUUUUUAUGGAACUAAAAUCGGACACAGUUUUGCGCGAACACCGCUGAAGCCGCCGACCUCCCUUCUUGUUCGGUGAAAGUGCACGAACGGCCCGGUGUUCGGUAUUUUUGUUUGAAUGUCUUAUACCCCAGAUAGGAAUCCCAUGGAGCCCAUUCAUAUGAAACUGGCUCCAUGGCGAUUAAACUGUAUUCGUGUGGUCUGAGUGCCAUUCACCUAAUAAUGUGCACUCAGACCUGAGCUAUCUGGGGAUAUGUUACAUGUCUGUGGUUUAUGUAGUAAAUGUUAUUUUAUGUAUUUUAAAGUAUUAUGCUGGUUUUGUGUUCCCACAUGUGUAAUGGAGUUUUGCCUUUGUCUUGGGAGAUAAUUGAGUUACUUCCCAAUUAUCUCCCAGGGCAGAGGGGAGGAAGCCAGGAUGCAUUGUGGAAAUAUACUGUGACUGUGUGUCCUAUUUGUAUACUUGUCUGUCCCUUGUCACAGUCUCCCAUUUGGUCCCCUAGGGGAGUGUCCACCAGGUUGGAGACCUGCAUAAAAGCUGGGCAGGUAGCCCUCAUUAAACAGACCACUGCUUGACCCUCAACACGGAGCCUUGUCUCGUUCUUGGGGGGAUUCACUGUAUGCUGUUAGAGACUGAUUGCCAGGAGUGUAAGCUGUUCGUCUGCUUUUCCUGUUCGCCUACUAGCAGCUAUUCGUAUGGUUCCUGUUCGCUUAUUUGAAGUGCUACCUUAUUCCCUUGUAUGCCAUUCGGGAGUUUGGAGCAUUCACUUAUUGGCGGUUCGUGAGUUUUGGUGAUUCUACAGUAGCUGUGCCUGUCUCUGAAAGGGGGAUUAUCGUCUAAGCGGUUUUUUCCCCUUUUAUGCUAAACGGUCCGUUACAAUUGGUGGCAAGCGGCGGCAUCGUUCCUACAACCAGAAGGACAGCUACAGGAGACACCAUUUCUUUGGAUUUUACAAUUUGAGGGCAACGCAUGUCCCAGUACAGCGACCCUGACAGCACCAGCAUGGAACCAGCAGUGGAGUAUGACGGGGGUGCCAUGGAUGACCGAGAUGCAGUCCGUAAAGGCAUCUGGUACCAGGCACUGGGUAUUGUGGAGUACCAGCGGGGCAAGAGACUCCCCAAGGAAGACCAGCGGUUGCAGAAGCGAGUAGCCCCGCGGAUGCCCUUCCUGGGAGAGCAGCCCCUGGAGGAAUGGGUGAGGAAAUUGGAACACCUAGUAUGGCAGGAGUUGUGGCUAGAAGAUGCCUACCAGGCGCUCUGGUGGGAUGGGGCACAGUACCUACCCUGGACAGCCGAGCAUGACAAGCCAGAGGGAGAGGAGUUUGAUGGUCCUGGCUUGUUAUGGGAGUCGUUUUCAGAGCUCGAAUUUGGGAGCCCUACACAAGCCCGGUUCAGUGAUCUCUGGGCGUGGAGGGAGAGCAGGUAUGACUGGGACGACGCUCACAAAAUUGAGCAAGACCUGGUCCACCUGGUAACCCGGGAGAUGGAGCUAGAACAGGGCUACCAGCAGCUGUUUCAAUACAGCCAGAAGGCUCAGCAGGAGAGCAGCAUGACAGACCCAGAGCCAGACCCAUUCAGCUGGGAAGACAUUGUGGAUAUUUUCUGGGAAGAACCCCAGGUGGCCGGUAGAGAUGGCACCGAGGUCUCUCCACCGGUAUUGCAGGGAAUUGGGAGCCCGAGCUCCAUUCCCCAGCGGGAGAUAUUGCAGGGAAUUGGGAGCCUGAGCUCCAUUCCCCAGCGGCAGGCUGAGUUACAGGGGACAGGGAUAGUCGCUCCUGUCCCCCAGCAGCAGAAUGAAUUGCAGGGAAUUGGGAGCCCGAGCUCCAUUCCCCAGCGGGAGAUAUUGCAGGGAAUUGGGAGCCUGAACUCCAUUCCCCAGCGGCAGGCUGAGUUACAGGGGGCAGAGGUAGUUGUUCCUGCCCCCCAGCAGCAGAGUGAUAUGCCGGGAAGGCAGUGUAAAGUGCAGGGAGAGGAGAACAGCGGCCUCCCUCCCCAGCGGCAGGCCGAGUUACAGGGGGCAGAGGUAGAUGUUCCUGCCCCCCAGCAGCCAAGUGAUAUGCCGGGAAGGCAGUGGGAAGUCCAGGGAGAGGAGAGCAGUGUCCUCCCUCCCCAGCGGCAGUAUGAUACUUUGGGAAUUGGGAGCCCAGUCUCCAUUCCCCAGCGGCAGUAUGAUGCUUUGGGAAUUGGGAGCCCAGUCUCCAUUCCCCAGCGGCAGCACAGAUUAUUGGGAAUUGGGAGCCCAGUCUCCAUUGCCCAGCGGCAGAGUGUCCUACCGGGAAUAGAGAGCCCAGUCUCCUUUCCCCAGCAGCAGGACUCUGUAUUGGGAGCAGAGACAGUCGGUCUCCCUUCCCCACAGCUGGAAGUAUGUAUGGGAGAGGAGCUUGUUACCCCCUCUCCCCAGCGGCAGCUUAAUGUACAAAGGGGAGACAGUAAGCCCCACAACUGUGCAGAUGGGACCGUAGUCUCUACACUGCCAGCACAGGGGGUAGGGACGGUCGGUCCUGCCCCCCAGCGACAGGGCUGUUUAGCCAAAGGGGAGACAAUCUGUCUCCCCCUCCAGCAGCAGAGAUGGGUAACCAAAGGGGAGAUGGUCGGUCUCCAGCAGCAGGAUUGUGCAUCUAAAGGGAAGACAGUCAGUCUCCAGCAGCAGCAGCAGAGCGGUGUAUUUAAAGGGGAGACAGUCGGUCUCCCCCUCCAACAACCAGGCUUCCACCAGGCUACCCUCCCAGUAGCGCUGGCAACAGGGCAGAGUGCCGCUGGUCUCUGCCCACGCUGCAACCCACCAAGUCAGCGUACCCGUACCCAGCACAGCCGUGGUGAGGCACCUGGACAUGGACAAGCUUCCCCUUUACCCAGGUGUAGUAACCAUUUAUUGUGGGUGGGCUGUGCUGUUUAUUAUUUGUUGUGGAUGGGCUGCUGGACUAACAAGGGCACUGACCGGCAGGAGGUCAGAUACCCUGUUAGUCUGUUUGGAAAAGGGGAGAGAUGUGACGAGACCAAUCUCGCCACAUUGCAUUGGAGAAGCCUGGUUGCUCGCCUGCUGCCUUUGGACUAUGGCCCCUUUUAAAAGACUUUAUUUUUUGCAUGCAGAAAAGCUGUAUUCGUGCUUUUCUGCCGGUUGUUCGGUAGUUUCAAUCUACCGAACAACCGUACGAAUGACUGGACCACCUGGGAGCUGGAGUGUGCCGGCAAUUGACCUCCCUGAAGCUGCGGUUAACCGCAGCUUAAUUGAUGAAUGCUGGGUGGCUGCCAUUCGUAUCCCGAACACGAGGUCGCGGCCAUUUUAAACCAUACGAAUGAACAGCGGUGUUCGCCUCUAUUUUCAUGGAACUAAAAUCGGACACAGUUUUGCGCGAACACCGCUGAAGCCGCCGACCUCCCUUCUUGUUCGGUGAAAGCACAUGAGUGACCCGGUGUUCGGUAUUUUUGUGUGAAUGUCUUAUACCCCAGAUAGGAAUCCCAUGGAGCCCAUUCGUAUGAAACUGACUGUAAAGACUUUGGCUCCAUGGUGAUUAAACUGUAUUUGUGUGGUCCGAGCGCCAUUCACUUAAUAAUGUGCACUCAGACCUGAGCUAUCUGGGGAUAUGUUACAUGUCUGUGUUUUAUGUAGUAAAUGUUACUUUGUGCAUUUUAAAGUAUUAUGCUGGUUUUGUGUUCCCACGUGUGUAAUGGAGUUUUGCCUUUGUCUUGGGAGAUAAUUGAGUUACUUCCCAAUUAUCUCCCAGGGCAGAGGGGAGGAAGCCAGGAUGCAUUGUGGGAAUAUAAUGUGACUGUGUGUCCUGGAUUGCUGCUUGUCUGUCCUGUGUUACAGUCUCCCAUUUGGUCCCCUAGGGGGAGUGUCCACCAGGUGGGAGACCUGCAUAAAUACUGGGCAGGUAGCCCUCAUUAAACAGACCACUGCUUGACCCUCAACACGGAGCCUUGUCUCGUCUUUGGGGGAUUUACUGUAUGCUGCUAAGGACUGAUUGCCAGGAGUGUAAGCCGCUUGGAAGCUUUUCCUGUUCGCCUGCUAGCAGCUAUUCGUAUGGUUCCUGUUCGCUUAUUUGAAGUGCUACCUUAUUCCCUUGUAUGCCGUUCGGGAGUUUGGAGCAUUCACUUAUUGGCGGUUCGUGAGUUUUGGUGAUUCUACAGUAGCUGUGCCUGUCUCUGAUAGGGGGAUUAUCGUCUAAGCGUUUUUUUCCCCUUUUGUGCAAAACGGUCCGUUACAAUUAUCUGUGUAGAAAUUACUUAGUAACAUUGGUGAACUGAACAGUGGCAGGAGAGAGAGAGAUAGAGAUAGAGAGCUGGGCUAUGAAGGCGAAGGAACUGGUGAAGGCAGUGAAAUUAGAGAAUUGACACCCAGGAAGAUGGUAAGCUUUCCUAUCUAGUUGUAUAUUUAGUGAUUUGUUAAAUGACUGGAGGCUAGGGUAGCAUGAGGCAUCCAUUGGAAAAAUUCUGCAGAGGAGAGUUGACAAUGUAGGAAUGAGCAGAUGACAGUCGAAGAUUGUGGCGGAACCAGCCUCGCCACUGGGCAUUGGAGAAGACUGAUUGCCGGCCUCCUGCCCUGUGACUAUGGCCCCAUGUUGAAAGGAUGGAUUUUCCCCUGCAAAGACCCAAAAGCUGGGUCUUUCGGUACUUUCCCUAUGUGAGCAGUGUUACCCAGAUAGCUAUGCCAUGGAGCCCAUUUGUAUAAUGAAAGACUAUGGAAAAGACUUUGGCUCCAUGGCAAUUGAACUGUAUGUGUGUGCUCUGAGCGCCAUUCAGUAAUAAUGUGCGCUCAAAUCUGAGCUAUCUGGGGAUAUGUUGAAUGUACCUGUUUUGUGCAAUGGCUGCACAGUUAUAUGUUUUUAUGUGUUUUAUUGUCUUUUGCUGCCAUGUGGCUAAUGGAGUUUUGCCUCUGUCCUGGAGAUAAUUGGAUUACUUCCCCAAUUAUCUCCAGGAUAGAAGACUCUGUGGAACUGGUUUUGGGCAGAAAAGCAAUGCUGCAUUUGGUCAAAUAGGACUUUUCCUUAACUUUUGAACCACUGGACCAAUAUGUAUGAUUUUGACAUAUGUAUUGUAUUUGGAGUAUGCUGAUUCUGAAAAUGUAAGUUUUAUGUGAAUGUGAGGCAUACUUUUCAAGUUAUGAAUAAUGUGGAAAAACUGUAUUUCUCUGGCUGUGAUAAUUAGAUUAACCAUUGUGUUCAGUAAUCAUCUCACAGCCAGAGGGGAGGAUUUUGUGUGGGAGUGACUUUCUGUAAUGUAUGUGUGUUAUUGGUUGUUAUGUAAAACCCUGUGGGCAGUACUAAGUUUGUGGAUUGGGAAUAAAAGAGGCUGUAUGUGCCAGUCCAGUCAGUUCCUGCUUAACCCUCAAAGUGAAGUGUCGUCUCAUUAUUGGGGGAGGAUUUAUUGUAUGCUGUUCCAGUUUGACUGCUGGAGUGUAAACCUAUUCGCAUGGUUUUUCCUAUUCAGCUGUAUACAACAUUCAUAUGCUUGAGAGAAGGUAUACGCUUCUUCGGUUCGGUGAUUGUGGUGCUGGCCAGAGUGCUUGGAGUCCUCAGGAAACGCUAGGAGCAUCCUUUAACGGAGGUACCCAGUCGGGGUGCCAGGUGAUCCGUUACAAAGAUAAUUUCCAGAGUGAAUGGGAGGGGAAGGGAUACAUUUGUUGAGUAAAGACAAAAUUUAUUGUGGAGUGAAGUUAGUGAGGCCUCUGUAGGUUAGUGUUAUUUGCAGCUUUCCCAAUUUGCUCAAACAGCUGUUUGUACUCAUAAAUAUUAACAUUAGGGGGUUUAUGACAUAGCCCAAGCAAUAAUUGAUUUCCCUUCUUUUUCCCCAAGUAUCCAUAAAGCUUCCACAUUUUUCUCAUCACAUUCCACAUGCUUGAGAUAUGGCUUUAACUCAUGGUUAACAUACAAACAUACCCCACCACCCUUCCUAUUUUUUUCUAUCCUUCCUAAAUAAUAUGUAACCAUUUAAAUUAGCUGUCCAGUCAUGUGUCUCAUCCCACCAUGCUUCUGUUAUGCCUAUUAUGCCAUAUAGCUUAGUGUACGCUAUUGCCUCUAGUUCCCCCAUUUUGUUAUUUAGGCUCCUUGCAUUUGUAAGCAUACAUUUAAUAUCAUCACUAGUACCUUGUACAUUUUUUUAGUGUUACAUGCCUCCUCUGUUCAGAUCUUGCCCCUUCCCCAUCUCUACCCCCCUUGUACAGAGCUAAAGCCGAUCUCCAUUUUGUAGAUUUCUACGUCCCUCCCCCUACCACUAGUUUAAUAUCUCCUCCAACCUUCUAGCCUUCUUGUCCCCCAGCACUGCAGGCUAUUUAGGUGCAAUCCAUCAUGACUAUACAGAUUGUACUCAGCUCAGUACUCUAAAAACCCCAAACCCACCUUCCUACACCAAGACUAGUGAUGUCGCGAACCCGAAAUUUUCGGUUCGCGAACGGCGAACGCGAACUUCCGCAAAUGUUCGCGAACCGGCGAACCGCCCGAAACGCCAUUGACUUCAAUGGGGAGGCGAAUUUUAAAACACACAGGGACUCUUCUGGCCACAAUAGGGAUGGAAAAGUUGUUUCAAGGGGACUAACACCUGGACUGUGGCAUGCCGGAGGGGGGAUCCCAUGGCAAAACUCCCAUGGAAAAUUACACAGCUGAUACAGAGUCUGGUUUUAAUCCACAAAGGGCAGAAAUCACCUAACAUUCCUAAAUCACAAUCAAUAUGGAUUGACACCUGACAUAUGACAUAUGACACCUGACAUAUGGAUUGACACCUGUCCUAAGGUCCCUGAUACACACUGACACAGAGCAGAAUAGGGACUGUUCCCCCUACAUCGGGUCACUUGGCAGAUAUGGAUUGACACCUUGUUACAAACUGCUAUUUGUAACUGGCCCUUUAAAUGGCAAAUUGCCCUGCUUCCCUGGGUUGUGGAGAAGCCUAUUUGCCAGCCUCCUCCCGCAUGACUAUGGCCCCUGGGAGAUUGUGAAAAUGUAUGCACUUUUAUUUGGUGUGUAUGGCCCUUUAAGACUGUCGGUGGGCAUAUUGGGGCUUAUGGACUCUUUAUGUGACUGGUGCUGGCCCUUUAAACACCUUUUUUGGGACAUCAGGAAGAUUGGGACACUGCCCCUUUAAGGCCGUGUCCCCAGACUUGUUGGGGACACGGCCCCUUUAAGACGGUGUCCCCUGUGUCCCCAGACCUGGUGCAAACCCUUUGUGCCUGCCUUGCUAUUUCCCACUUGGUUCAGUAAAUGGGAAAUUAUUUCAGCUGCAGAGACUAAGUCCCAUUCGGCGAUGGGACUUAGUCUUUUUCAGCCGCUUUUCAGCCUUAUUUCAGUUGCAGAGACUAAGUCCCAUCUCGGCCAUGGGACUUCAGUCUUUUUCAGCCGCUUUUUCAGCCUUAUUUCAGUUGCAGAGACUAAGUCCCAUCUCGCAUGGGACUUGUAGUCUUUUUCAGCCGCUUUUUCAGCCUUAUUUCGGCUGCAGAGACUAAGUCCCAUUCGCGAUGGGACUUAGUCUUUUUUUCAGCCGUUUUUUUCAGCCUUAUUUCAGCUGCAGAGACUAAGUCCCAUUCGCCAUGGGACUUAGUCGUUUUUUCAGCCUGAAAUAGACCGACCUCACAGCCCAAAUCUAUGGAACUGUUUUGGGCAGGAAAAUGUGCUUGCAGUCGGUCAUAAAGGGACUUCCAGCUAACUUUUUAACCCCUGGAUGGAUUUGGCUGAUUUUUGGUUAUGUUUAUGUUUUAAGUGUGCUGAUUCCAAAUAUGUAAUUAUGAAGAUGGAUGUGUAGUUUUAAAGUUACAGGGUAUGGCUAAAAACUGUAUUUUUACUGCCUGUGUUUAAUUAUGUUAAUCUCUUCCCAAACGUCAUUUCGUUCAAAGUGAGAGAAUGUUAAAAAAAAAUAUUUUUGUUCGGAGUGUGAGAAAUGCUUUUCAGCCGCUUCUAAUCUUAAGCAUCAUUUGAGGAGCCAUACAGGAGAGAAACCUUAUUUGUGGUGUGUUUAGUAUUGUUCAGAUCAGUUUAAUACCUUCCGCGUCUCCUAUCAGUGGACGUGUAUAUGGCAGCCAUUUUAGGAACCAUACACCUGGGACCCGAGCAAGGUCACCUCGUUCAACAGGCGACAACAUUUGUCCCUGGAAAACUAUCCUGGACAUUCUGUACAAUUUGUAUGGAUAUGGCAGUGAUUUCUGCAACAGGGAGAUGGAAGAAGAUGCUUGGUCGGUCCUCUUAAUUCAAAUUUGGGGCACUGCGCGGUCAAGCUAAUGUGCCACCAGAUAGGAGUGGUGUGUUUAGUAUUGUUCUGAUCAGUUUAAUACCUUCCANNNNNNNNNNNNNNNNNNNNNNNNNNNNNNNNNNNNNNNNNNNNNNNNNNNNNNNNNNNNNNNNNNNNNNNNNNNNNNNNNNNNNNNNNNNNNNNNNNNNUUAACAAUGAUUGGUUAAAUAAAUCUGUUAAUGGUUUUGCUAGUACACCACUAAGCUCUUUUAAUAGCUUUGGGUGUAUUCCAUCAGGUCCAUUGACUUAUUUGUCUUUACUUUUGACAGUUGAAAUAGAACCUCUUCCUCUGUAAACUCACGUGUAAUAAAUGACUCAUUUAUCCUUUUUCUCAACUGAGGUCCCUUUCCUUCAUUCUCUUCUGUAAAUACAGAACAAAAAUAUUCAUUGAGGCAGUCAGCCUGACCUUUAUCUUCUUCUACAUACCUUCCUUCUUUUGUUUUUAAUCUAACUAAUCCUUGUUUUACUUUUCUUUUCUCAUUUAUGUAUCUAAAAAAUGUUUUAUCCCCCUUUUUUACUGACUGUGCUAUUUUCUCUUCUGUGUGUGAUUUGGAAGCUCUUAUAACUUGCUUAGCCUCUUUCUGCCUAAUCUUAUAGAUCAUUUUGUCUCCCUCACUCUGGGUUUUUUUUAUAAUUCCUAAAUGCUAACUUUUUGUUUUUAACUAUUUUGGCCACAUCUGCGGAGUACCACAGUGGUUUCUUGAAUUUUUUGCUUUUACUGACAAGCCUAAUGCAAUUUUCUGUUGCCUUCAAUAGUGCAACUUUUAAAUAAUCCCAUUUCUCUUGGACUCCAUUUAAAUUGCUCCAGUCUGAUAAUGACUCCUCUACCCAUAUUCUAAUUUUAGAAAAGUCUGUUUUUCUAAAGUCUAAAACUUUUGUUUUUGUGUGGUGUGACUCAGUCACUGUUCUUAUAUUAAACCACACUGACUGAUGAUCACUGGAUCCUAAACUUUCACCUACAGUAACAUCUGAUACCAAAUCUCCAUUUGUUAACACUAAAUCUAGUAUGGCCUCUUUACGAGUUGGCUCCUCAACAACUUGUUUUAGAGACAAUCCCAGUAGGGAGUUUAGAAUAUGUGUGCUCCUGGCACAAGUAGCUAAUUUUGUUUUCCAAUUUACAUCAGGAAGAUUAAAGUCACCCAUGAUGAUAACUUCCCCCUUCAUUGUCAUUUUAGCUAUUUCCUCAACUAGUAGAUUAUCUAACUCUUCAAUUUGUCCUGGGGGCCUAUAAAUCACACCUACACGAGUUACUGUGUGAUUACCAAAUUCUAACGUAGCCCAAACGGACUCUAUGUUUGCCUCACUAACUUUUAUUAGGCUAGAUUUUAUGCUAUCCUUCACAUACAAGGCCACCCCUCCCCUUUCUUGCCUUCCCUAUCUUUCCUAUAUAAAGAGUACCCUGGUAUUGCUAUGUCCCAGUCAUUUUUCUCAUUGUACCAUGUCUCAGUAACAGCGACUAAAUCUACACUAUCAGUUGCCAUUAUUGCCACAAGUUCAUGGAUCUUAUUCCCUAAACUGCGAGCAUUUGUAGACAUGACUCUAAGCUUAUCAUUUUUUAACACACUUGCUACAGGCACCUUCUGUCCUUGUUUUGGGGGACAAUUGGAUUGAUGUUUUAUCACCCUUUUGUCCCCCCCUCCUAGUUUAAAUACAUCCUAGCAAAACCUCUGAACUGCUCACUGAGAACAUUUGUUCCCUUUUGAGAAAGAUGCAAACCAUCUUUUUUGUACAGCUUAUCUCCAUUCCAAACAGAGCUACCAUGAGAAAUAAAGCCAAAUCCUUGCUCCCGACACCAUUCACCAAGCCACAAAUUAAAGUCCCUAAUACGCAUCCGCCUGUCGUUCUGAGUGUUAUGCACAGGCAGAACUUCAGAGAAUGACAGUGUGGAAGCAACCUGCCGUAUAUCAUUGGCAAAAACACUAAAAACUUCCUUAACCUCUGAAACCUCAUUGCAAGCCAAGUCAUUUGUCCCUAGAUGGACAAGUACAUCCAAUUCCCCUUCCUGCUUUGCUUGCUUAACAAUAUUACAGAUACGUCUCCUGUCUCUGUGAGCAGUAGCUCCGGGAAGACACCUCACAAGACCACCAUUGUCCAUCUCCACACCUCUUAUAAUGGAAUCACCCAACAACAACUGCUUUCUAUUAGGCCUCACCAUAGUCUCCAAGGCGGUCUCAACAACACCACUAGCCUCAAUGCCUCUCUCCACAACACCACUAGCCUCAGUGCCUCUCUCCACAACACCACUAGCCUCAGUGCCUCUCUCCACAACACCACAAGCCUCAGUGCCUCUCUCCACAACACCACAAGCCUCAGUGCCUCUCUCCACAACACCAUUACACUCUGAAAGUGCAGAAAAUGAAUUAUGAAGAGCAACAGACUGUGCAAAAUGCCUUUUAUCCACAACUCUAAGUCUACCAGAUCCUACAGAAAUCCAUCUGCCUUUCCUAGCAUGUCUCUGCGGCAGUGGCUUUGCAGCAGUUCCAGUCUGAGUUUCUACACCAGAUAAUUUACAAAUCUCAGACUUCAAAAAUACAAUCUCCUGCCGCAAGAUAGAGAACUGUCUACAGAUUAGACAACAACCAAACCUCCAAAAAGUGGAACGUGAAACAAAUGCAUAGCAAUUGUUACACUGAACUAAGCCUGCCAUUCCAAUUAUGAGAAUAAUUUAAAUCUAACAAAUCUUAACUUUUUUCUUUAUCCUCCUGAAUACCUCAGAUUACCUCCAGGUUAUCUCCAGAAUAUCUCCAACUAGACACUUAGAAACAGCACUUGGAAGUAGCCCCAAGCUAUAUUAGACAAGCUAAUGAGACCAAGCCUUAUAUAACUCCUUAAAUCACCGCCCACUAGGAAUGUUUACCCAACUAGCUUGUUAACAACGUGUGCGGCUGUAACCCCAUUUCUCUAUGCUAUCAUGCACUUUAUCAUUUAAGGAGUGUGGCAUAUAAAUGGAGCAAAUAUACAUUGAUCAUCCACAACAUUAAAACCACCUGACUAAUAUCGUGUAGGUCCCCCUUGUGCUGCCCAAACACCUCUGAUAUGUUGAGGCAUUGACUCCACAAGAAUUCGGAAUGUGUAAGGUGGUAUCUGGCACCAAGACAAUACCAGCAGAUCCUUUAAGUCCUGCAAGAUUCAAGGUGGAUCCUCCAUGGAUCAUUCCAACACAUCCCACAGAUUCUCAAUCACAUUAAGAUCUGGGGAAUUUGGAGGCCAAUGGAAAACUUUAAACUCUUUGUCAUGUUCCUCAGACAAUUCCUGAACAAAUUUUGCAGUGUGGGAGGGUGCAUUAUACUGCUGAAAGUGUCCAUUGACAUCAGGGAACUCCACUGCCAUCAAGAGGUGUACGUGGUCUGCAACAAUUUCUAGGUAGGUGGUAUGUCUCAAAGUAACAUCUACAUGAAUGCCAGGACCCGAGGUUUCCCAGCAGAACAUUGCUUCCACUGGCCUGCCUUUUUCCCAGAGUGCAUUCUGCUGUCAUCUCUUCCCCAGGUAAAUGACGCACCCGGCCAUCCACCUGAAACAUGACUCAUCAGACCAGACAACUUCCUUCCAUUGCUCCAUGGUCCAGUUCUAACACUCACAUCUCCAUUGAAGCUGCUCUCAGAGAUGGACAGUGGUCAUCAUGGGCACUCUGAUUGAUCUGGGGUUACGCAGCCCCAUACACAGCAUACUGCAAUGCACUGUGUGUUCUGACACAAUUCUGUCAUGGCCAGCAUUACGUUUUUCAGCAAUUUCAGCUAUAGUAGCUCUUUGUGUGUUCGGACUAGCAUUCACUCUCCAUGUGCAUCAAUGAGCCUUGGGCACCCAUGACCCUGACACCUGUUCACAGGUUGUCCUUCCUUGCACCACUUUUGAUAGGCAACACCCCAUAAGACUUGCCAUUUGGAGAUUACUUUUGACUAUUUGGCCCUUGUCAAAGUCACUCAGAUCUUUUUGUUGCCAAUUUAUCCUGAUUCUAACAACCUCAAGAACUGACUGUUUAGUUUCUGCCCAUCCUUUGCAGGUAGGAUUUAUUAAUCUGUAUGUGGUUUUAAUGUUGUGGCUGAUCAGUGUAAAAAGACAGAAUAACAUUAUUUGGAAAGCGAAGAGAAAUUUAUGUCAAUGCAUAUACUGCACACAGGGGUUAGUGAGCCUUAACUUGCUUCUAAACCUACUGCAUUAAAACCUUUCACCCACAGCGAAAUCCACAUAUUGUGCUGUACAACUAUUUCCAAAUAUGGUGCAUUUAAAUGGCAUUGUCAAAUUAUACAAAUGUUUCUUUAGUAUUACUGGGGACUUAACUUAACAAUGAAAGAGUACCUAAAUCAGAUGCAGGGAUUAUUUAGGAACUCACUCAGAGCUCCAUCCUAUAUAAUUGACAACUAUGCCAAAUACUCUGUACCCCUGUAGGUCAUAGCUAAAAGCCAGUGUGACCUAUUAGACUACCUGAAUGGGAUCUUCUAGCUAAGCACAUUACUCAUUCCAUUCUUGUUGCAGUAAAUGGCUUAUGAAUGGAGCAGUUGAGUUAGCUGGAACAUACCAUUCAGACACAUUAGGGGUGCAGUUAUGCAAACUUACCAUACACAUUUUUCAUACAGCCAUCCCACUGUGAAAAACAAAAUUGCAAUAAUUUUCCAUUAGCAAUUGGAUUUCUGUUAUAUGGCUCUGGACCAGAAUAGGGUCUCUUCGUCACUUUGUCUUCCUCAUUCUCUUCAGCUACCUUGGCAUUAACAUAGCAGUCAUUAUAGCUCUUAUCCCCAUACACUAGUCGAGACUUAAUGAGGGUAAAACAAGUACUAAUUUAUUAGCACAACACACACCUAUUUAUACAUGGUUAAUGUGUAUUCAUCAUCCAUUGAGUGAUCCACAAAGUCUAUGCUGAUAAGACUUAAUGAGGUCAGUUCAGGCUAAUGACAUUUCCUACCUGCUGUAUCAUCCCGAGACAGAAAUGCAAGGGUAUCCAUGCUUGUGGGACACUGUCCAUAGUCUGUGGAAAGGGGGUUGGCCUCCAAGACCUUCCAUGAGCCAGGGUAACAUAGACUUCCCUCACAAUUCUAAAGUGACAAUAAAGGAGCAAACAUGUUUUUAUAAUUGUAUAUAUAAAGAGGAUUUCCCUAAUUAUAACUUAUUGCCUUGCUUUUGUUCCUAGUGAAAGGAAAGGUCUCUAUUACCAUUGAGAGCAGCCGCCAUAUGCUAUUCCUAUUUGACCUAAAUGAAACAGAGAAAACGGGUCUUGUGAGGUUAACAGACUACAGAACAACGUUUGAUAUUUAUCCUGAGAAGACUGGAAAACAUAAACUAAAUAUUUAUGCAAAAUCCCAUGAUUCAGAGGGAGAUUACCACUGUGUUUCAAGUUACGUUGUAGAUUGUAAAUCUUUAGAUACCUCCAUGAAGAUCCCUAAGUGUCUCCAAAUACCUGCAGGUCCAAGUUGGUUAUCAGAGAAAGCAGGACUUUUUCAACCCUCUCACCCAGACCCAAUAAUUUACACUAAGGACGGCUCUUUCACUGUCAGCUUUACAAUGAAGCAGAAUUUGAGUCUUUUUUGUACUUUGAGCUCUGAUGACCUGCAGAUGACUUCAGAGAUGCAGC
Molecule: long non-coding RNA, 21505 nt
Filed under: Pelobates cultripes (western spadefoot toad)
Lineage: Eukaryota; Metazoa; Chordata; Amphibia; Anura; Pelobatidae
Source: RNAcentral